AUUGAACGCUGGCGGCAGGCCUAACACAUGCAAGUCGAGCGGAGCGGCGGACGUGUGUGUAAUGCCUAGGAAUCUGCCUGGUAGUGGGGGAUAACGUCCGGAAACGGGCGCUAAUACCGCAUACUAUCGGAUGAGCCUAGGUCGGAUUCGCUAGUUGGUGGGGUAAAGGACUACCAAGGCGACGAACCGUAACUGGACUGAGAGGAUGAUCAGUCACACUGGAACUGGGACGCGGUCCAGACUCCUGCGGUAGGCAGCAGUGGGGAAUAUUGGACAAUGGGCGAAAGCCUGAUACAGCCAUGCCGCGUGUGUGAAGAAGGUCUUCGGAUUGUAAAGCACUUUAAGGUGGGGGGCGUUACCAACAGAAUAAGCACCGGCUAACUUCGUGCCAGCAGCCGCGGUAAUUC
Molecule: ribosomal RNA, 407 nt
Filed under: uncultured bacterium
Lineage: Bacteria
Description: partial 16S ribosomal RNA
Rfam family: Bacterial small subunit ribosomal RNA
Source: RNAcentral